RNAcentral lists this ribosomal RNA (492 nucleotides) under uncultured bacterium. RNAcentral's name for it is "partial 16S ribosomal RNA". It matches the Rfam family "Bacterial small subunit ribosomal RNA", at positions 29 to 507 of the family's 1533-position model. The record is from RNAcentral.
AGUGAACGCUGGCGGUAGGCUUAACACAUGCAAGUCGAACGGCAGCACAGUAAGAGUUUGCUCUUACGGGUGGCGGGUGGCGUACGUGAGAGGAAAACAUCGGAACCUAGUUUUUGGUGUGGGAUAACGUAGGGAAACUUACGCUAAUAUCGCAUACGCCCUACGGGUGAAGGCAGUGGAUCUUCUGACCUUUUGCGUUUGAAUGAGCCGCUGGCGGACUAGCUAGUUGGCGGGUUAAAGGCCCACUAAGGCGACGAUCCGUAGCUGGUCUGAGAGGAUGGUCGGCCACGCUGGAGCUGUGCCGCGGUCCAUACUCCUACGGGAGGCAGCAGUGGGGAAUAUUGGACAAUGGGCGCAAACCUGAUCCAGCGAUACCGCGUGGGUGGAGAAGACAUUCGGUUUGUAAAGCCGUUUUGUUGGGAAAGAAACGCAGCAGGUUAAGACCCCGCUGUUCUGACGGUACCCAAAGAAUAAGCACCGGCUAACUUCGUG